UUGUGCCUACGGGGCGCAGCAGUGAGGAAUAUUGGUCAAUGGUCGGGAGACUGAACCAGCCACGCCGCGUGAGGGAGGAAGGUACAGAGUAUCGUAAACCUCUUUCGUCAGGGAACAAAGGCGGGGACGUGUCCCCGGAUGAGUGUACCUGAAGAAAAAGCAUCGGCUAACUACGUGCCAGCAGCCGCGGUAAUACGUAGGGAGCAAGCGUUAUCCGGAUUUACUGGGUGUAAAGGGCGUGUAGGCGGGCAUGCAAGCCAGAAGUGAAAUCUGGGGGCUUAACCCCCAAAC
RNAcentral lists this ribosomal RNA (291 nucleotides) under uncultured bacterium. Its description in RNAcentral is "partial 16S ribosomal RNA". It matches the Rfam family "Bacterial small subunit ribosomal RNA", at positions 332 to 621 of the family's 1533-position model. The record is from RNAcentral.